AUGCUAUUUGCAACUUUAGAAGAUAUACUAACUCAUAUCUCUUUCUCAACGAUUUCAAUUGUGAUUACGACUCAUUUUAUAACCUUAUUAGUUUGUGAACUUGGACGAUUACGUGAUUCGUCAGAAAAAGGAAUGAUAGUUACUUUUUUCUCUAUAACAUGAUUCUUAGUUUCUCAUUGGGCUUCCUCGGGACAUUUUCCAUUAAGUAAUUUAUAUGAGUCAUUGCUCUUCCUUUCAUGGGCCUUGUAUAUUCUCCAUACCAUUUCUAAAAUACAAAAGUCUAAAAAUGAUUUAAGCACAAUAACUACGCCAAGUACUAUUUUAACGCAAGGCUUUGCCACAUCGGGUCUUUUAACUGAAAUGCAUCAAUCCACGAUACUAGUACCUGCUCUAUAGUCUCAGUGGUUAAUUAUGCAUGUCAGUAUGAUGUUAUUAAGCUAUGCAACUCUUUUGUGUGGAUCCUUAUUAUCUGCCGCUAUUCUAAUCAUUAGAUUUCGAAAUAAUUUCCAUUUCUUUUCUAAAAAGAAAAAAUGUUUUAAAUAAAACAUUUUCUUUAGUGACAUUAAAUAUUUUUAUGAAAAAAGAAUUGCUUUAAAAAGAACCUUUGUCCCUUCAUUUCCAAAUUAUUACAAAUAUCAAUUAACGGAGCGUUUGGAUUCUUGGAGUUAUCGUGUCAUUAGCCUAGGAUUUACCCUUUUAAUCGUAGGUAUUCUUUGUGGAGCAGUAUGGGCUACUGAGGCCUCGGGAUCCUAUUGGAAUUGGGAUCCUAAGGAAACUUGGGCAUUUAUUACUUGGACCAUAUUCGCAAUUUAUUUACACAGUAGAACAAAUCCAAAUUGGAAGGGUACAAAUUCUGCACUUAUAGCUUCGAUAGGAUUUCUUAUAAUUUGGAUUUAUUAUUUUGGUAUAAAUCUAUUAGGAAUAGGCUUACAUAGUUAUUGUUCAUUUACAUUAACACCUAAAUAA
This 966-nucleotide ribosomal RNA is filed under the name Triticum aestivum (bread wheat). RNAcentral's name for it is "partial small subunit ribosomal RNA". Lineage: Eukaryota; Viridiplantae; Streptophyta; Magnoliopsida; Poales; Poaceae. The record is from RNAcentral.